AACGAACGCUGGCGGCAUGCCUAACACAUGCAAGUCGAACGAGACCUUCGGGCCUAGUGGCGCACGGGUGCGUAACGCGUGGGAACCUGCCCUUAGGUUCGGAAUAACUCCCCGAAAGGGGUGCUAAUACCGGAUAAUGUCUUCGGACCAAAGAUCUAUCGCCUUUGGAUGGGCCCGCGUUGGAUUAGCUAGUUGGUAGGGUAAAAGCCUACCAUGGCGACGUUCCAUAGCUGGUCUGAGAGGAUGAUCAGCCACACUGGGACUGAGACACGGCCCAGACUCCUACGGGAGGCAGCAGUGGGGAAUAUUGGACGAUGAGCGAUAGCCUGAUCCAGCAAUGCCGCGUGAGUGAUGAAGGCCUUAGGGUUGUAAAGCUCUUUUACCCGGGAUGAUAAUGACAGUACCGGGAGAAUAAGCACCGGCUAACUCCGUG
This 433-nucleotide ribosomal RNA is filed under the name uncultured bacterium. RNAcentral's name for it is "partial 16S ribosomal RNA". It matches the Rfam family "Bacterial small subunit ribosomal RNA", at positions 29 to 507 of the family's 1533-position model. The record is from RNAcentral.